UUGCUUCAGUGAGGGUGUUGCUUAGGCCACCUUUGGAUUAAAAAUGAAAACAACUACUCUCUGAGCAAC
Fukomys damarensis (Damara mole-rat) is the source of this 69-nucleotide non-coding RNA. Lineage: Eukaryota; Metazoa; Chordata; Mammalia; Rodentia; Bathyergidae. The record is from Rfam.